Long non-coding RNA from Lolium rigidum, 702 nucleotides. RefSeq lists it as uncharacterized. Lineage: Eukaryota; Viridiplantae; Streptophyta; Magnoliopsida; Poales; Poaceae. The transcript has 3 exons. The record is from RefSeq and is a predicted model, not a curated record.
GGCAACUGAGUCCCUGGUGCAGACUGCUUCUGACGAUGCCAUCGCUGUUGGUGGAGACAAAGAUGACCAAACAGUGGUUCCUAAGCCUAAAAGGAACACCAACUCCACCAAGUCAGGUGGGUUGGCCAAGAAACCGAAGCUGUAGCCAGUAGUCUGUUGUGCUUGCGGGCAUCGCCUGUAUAUAAGGUCCUCGUUUGUAUGGCUCUCGCUUCGUGCUUUGGUUCCUGCUGUAAGCUAUGCUCGCAUGAACCGCACGAAAAGCCUAUCAGUGUCUUAGUGUUGCUCACUGCCAAGGCAGCUUCACUGCCGAGCCAUCACCUUUCCACGCAGCGUUGUUCCCUUUGGGUUCUGUGGUUGCGGCCAAGCUAAUGUGAUGCUUUUGUUACACCGCCUCCAUGCUGCUGCUGGGUGUGCCUGGUUUGCUGCAGCGUGUUCCUUGUGUGGUGACUAUGUAACUGGCUAUGUAGUUUCUGUUGCGUGUAAGAGGACGCUACUCUAAAGCACGCUUUGUAGGUACACCCUCUGCUAGCAGGGGAGGAGCCCUACUGUCCCAUGUGCCCAUCUCACGGGCUAAGCUUAGACUAAACUUAUGUGCUCAUAUGUAUUGUACAGACUGUUGACUGAAACUCUGUUCUAUAUGGUGCUAUGUGUGUCGUCAGUUAUUGUUCAAGACCUAUCUGUGUUGUUUCUUGUUGUAUCCAA